UUUUUUUUUUUUUUUUACAGCUGUACCUGUGGCAUAUGGAAGUUCCCAGGCUAGGGGUCAAACUGAAGCUGCAGCUGCAGGCCUAUGCCACAGCCACAUAACACUGGAUCUGAGCCCCAUCUGUGACCUAUACCACAGCUUGCAGUAACACUGGAUCCUUAACCCAAUGAGUGAGGCCAGGGAUUGAACCCACAUCCUCACAGACACUCUACUGGGGUUCUUAACCUGUUGAGCCAGAACAGGAACACCCAUACCCUGUCUCUUAACCUCUCAUAUUUUCCAUCUCUUUAUCCUCUAAACUGCAAACUGUGUUACUUCUUCAGAGUUAUCUUCCAGUUCAUUAAUUCUCUCUUCAGCUGUAUCUAUUCUGAUAUUCAACCCCUCCUUGAAUUUUUCAUUUAAAAAUUUACAGUUUCUACUUCUAGACACUAUAUUUGGCUUUUAAAAUAAAUUUGCCUGGUUGUUCUUGAUGACAUCGUUUCUGUUACUCAUAUUUUCUUUUUUGAUUUUGUUUUUUUUAGGGCCACACGCACGGCAUAUGGAGGUGCAGCCCUAAAAAGGAAAAAAAAAAAAAAAAUUCUAGGUCAUUAAAAUCUAAAUACCCAACGUAUCAUCAGUGGAGUUGAAUCUGGGGGUAAAGUUUUGUGAACAGCAGAUAAUUUACGUGGUCACAGGAUGUCUUCCCCACAGAUUGCUUUUUAGUUGCAAAAGGAUAACUAGCAACUAUCCAACAGAGGAACCAAACUACACCCUUGACUAGAUAAUCAAAAUUAAUAUCACUAAUGACAGACAGAAGGACACUGUGUGCAUCUGGAUGUGACACCAUGAAAAAGACAUUACUUCUGUAGUAUUCUAACCAGGCAUGUGUUCCCUGAAUCUAAUAACGAAACAUCAGACCCCAAGUGAAAAACAUUCUAUAAAAUAACUGGCCUAUGUUCUUUAAAAGUACCAAUGUUAUGCAAGACAGAAAUAUUGAGAAACUGUCCCAGAUUACAGGAGAUUAAAGAGCACGACAAAUUCAUGCAAUUUGUAAUCCUGGCCUGGAUCCUACACGUGAGGGUGAGGGUUAGGGGAUGCUAAAAAGGGCAUUCCUGGGACAACUGAGAAAACUGGAGAUACGGACUCUAGAUUAAACAAAACUGUCGCUUAUUAGAGUUAAACUUCUUCAAAUUGAUAAUUAUAUUGUAGUUAAAUAAAAGAAUAUCCUUGUUCUAAAGAAAUACACUUGAAGUAAAGGACAAGAUGUUACAAUGUAAUCUCAACGGACUCAGAAAAAGGACUUUUCUAUCCAUACACACAUACGGGGUGAGGGGGGAGCAAAUCUACCAUGGCAAAAUGCUAAAAUUGGAACCUCCCUACCAUGCCGGUAAAUUUUCUGUAGAUUUUGAAAUUAUUUCAAAAUACAAAGCAAAAAAAGGGAGUGGUCAAACUUCUUGAGCCAAUUGGGGGAAAUAAUAAACACACAUAGCCCUGCUCAGUGGGCUAAGGAGCUGGCGUUGCCAUGAGCUGCAGUGUAGGUCACAGACAUGGCUCAGAUCUGGUGUUGCUGUGGCACAGGCCUGCAGCUGCAGCUCUGAUUCAACCCCUAGCCCAGGAACUUCCAUAUGCUGCAGGUGUGGCCCUAAAAAACAAAAUACUAAUAAUAAUAAAACGAAGAAAUAAAGCAAAAUGGUCCCAUGUUAAGAAAAAAAAAAAAAAAACAAACAACAAAGGAGUUCCUGCUGUGGCUCAGUGGUAAGGAACCCACAGAGUAUCCAAGAGGAUGAGGGUUUGACCCCUGACCUCGCUCAGUGGAUUAAGGAUCCAGCAUUGCUGUGAGGUGUGGUGUAGGUCGCAGACAAGGCUUGGAUCCCGAGCUGCUGUGGCUGCAGUGUAGGCCGGCAGCUAGAGCUCUGAUGCGACCCCUAGCCUGGGAACCUCCAUAUGCCACAGGUGUGGCCAUAGCAAAAAAACAACAAACAAGUAAACAAACAAAACACAUAUAGCGUUUGUAGUAACAAACUAUACUGAACCGAAAACGACCGUUUUACCAAAUAUUUCUGCUGAGGAACAGGUGAAGCAAUAACAUAGAGUUCUGCUCCUGCUUAAGAUACAGAAAGAACAUCUCUCCCAUCCUAACAAGAAAAGGCGAGAUAAUCUAUAAAAUCAUAACAUUUCUUGAGCUUAUCAGAGAGCUGGAGUCACAAGGUAACCAAGUGAACAGAAUUCUAAAGAGUGACAAGUCCCUCCAUGGAGAGACAAGGCAGACGAACUGUGUGACCUUUCACAGAGCACAGGAGGAAGUGGUGGCUCUCAUAAAAUUAAGUAAGAAGAAAGCAGCUUAAAUUUUAACGAAUUCUUAUAAAGCCGAGUGUAGCGUGGCAUAGCAUAUCAAAUCCCUGGGAUCUCGACACCACUGCUGUCUGAAAUGGCUUGCAAGCUCGUUUCCGUUGGGCCUCUGCUGGAUGCUCAUGAGAAAGAGUGGGACUAGAGCAGGAGACUAGAGAACAGACAAAGGUAGAAGGUCCAGCCCUUCUGGUCACAUCAAAGUGUGAAGAGAGGAAGAAGCAAAUAGUGAUAACGUGUGUUAUUACUUCUCCUUCCUGCAAAAUUCUGAGGAAAGAGAUGAUGUAUCAGUCAGGGUCCAGUCAAGAGACAGAAACCACCUCAGUAAUUUGUGCAGGGAAAAUUUAAUAUAAAGCAUAGGAAACAUGAAAGACUCAGAAUUUAACUACCUCCCCCCCCCAAAAAAGUGUGUAAACCAAAAAGAUAUGAGACUUCGUUAAAUGGCUAAUUAAAACACUUCUCUUUACCUCUUCCCAUGACAAGAUGGCAAUUUAUGAGGAAGACAGACUGGUGAUUAAAAAAAAAAAAAAAAAAA
RNAcentral lists this long non-coding RNA (2860 nucleotides) under Sus scrofa (pig). RNAcentral's name for it is "lncRNA (ENSSSCG00015074363.1)". The record is from RNAcentral. Lineage: Eukaryota; Metazoa; Chordata; Mammalia; Artiodactyla; Suidae.